ACUACGGGAGGCAGCAGUGAGGAAUAUUGGUCAAUGGGCGGGAGCCUGAACCAGCCAAGUCGCGUGCGGGAAGACGGUCCUAUGGAUUGUAAACCUCUUUAGGCGGGGAGCAACGGGCGCCACGUGUGGCGUCACUGAGAGUACCCGGAGAAACAGCAUCGGCUAACUCCGUGCCAGCAGCCGCGGUAAUACGGAGGAUGCGAGCGUUAUCCGGAUUUAUUGGGUUUAAAGGGUGCGUAGGUGGUUCGUUAAGUCAGUGGUCAAAUUGAGGGGCUCAACCCCUUCCCGCCAUUGACACUAGCGUUCUUGAGUGGAAGAGAAGUAUGCGGAAUGCGUGGUGUAGCGGUGACAUGCAUAGAUAUCACGCAGAACCCCGAUUGCGAAGGCAGCAUGCCGGCUUCCGACUGACGCUGAAGCACGAAAGCGUGGGGAUCGAACAGGAUUAGAUACCCUAGUAGUC
Molecule: ribosomal RNA, 460 nt
Filed under: uncultured bacterium
Lineage: Bacteria
Description: partial 16S ribosomal RNA
Rfam family: Bacterial small subunit ribosomal RNA
Source: RNAcentral